This 440-nucleotide ribosomal RNA is filed under the name uncultured Bacillota bacterium. RNAcentral's name for it is "bacterial SSU rRNA". It matches the Rfam family "Bacterial small subunit ribosomal RNA", at positions 338 to 795 of the family's 1533-position model. The record is from RNAcentral. Lineage: Bacteria; Bacillati; Bacillota.
CCUACGGGGGGCUGCAGUGGGGAAUAUUGGGCAAUGGGGGAAACCCUGACCCAGCAACGCCGCGUGAAGGAAGAAGGUUUUCGGAUCGUAAACUUCUAUCCUUGGUGAAGAUAAUGACGGUAGCCAAGAAGGAAGCCCCGGCUAACUACGUGCCAGCAGCCGCGGUAAUACGUAGGGGGCAAGCGUUGUCCGGAAUGAUUGGGCGUAAAGGGCGCGUAGGCGGCCUGGUAAGUCUGGAGUGAAAGUCCUGCUUUUAAGGUGGGAAUUGCUUUGGAUACUGUCGGGCUUGAGUGCAGGAGAGGUAAGCGGAAUUCCCGGUGUAGCGGUGAAAUGCGUAGAGAUCGGGAGGAACACCAGUGGCGAAGGCGGCUUACUGGACUGUAACUGACGCUGAGGCGCGAAAGUGUGGGGAGCAAACAGGAUUAGAUACCCCAGUAGUC